UGCCUCUCUCUUUCAUUAUCACUUUGCUUCCAGAGGAUCCUAUUCUUCCUCUUCUGGAAGGAUUAGUGUGUCUGGUGAAGUUGGAAAGCCACGGUACCCAUGUUGAAAUGUGAGGAAGCAGCUAAAAUUCGCAACCAUUUGAGAUUUCAAAGUCUUGGGUGAUGGUUUAUGUGUGGGAGAGAGAACCACAUUCCCACAUGUAGGACUAGGAGGCGUCUGCUGUGAUGAACCACAUGUUCAGUCUGUGUUUCACCUGAUCUGCCCUGAUUACACACAUGCUCUGAGCAGACUAAAGAAAAAAAAACUCUGUAACUGAAGUCUGGUUUCGGAGGAAACUGAUGUUCUAAUGAUCUCCAGUGCAACCAUAUGUAAAGUCCCCACACAGUGAAGGGAAUAAGUAGCCAAUCCAAGGGACCUCUUCAGGAUCAUGGAUCUGAUUUCUGUGCAAAUGAAAGAGAGACAUUAAUGCAAGGAAGGGCAGGAAUUCAGAAGACAGGAUUGGCUGGUUUUGCUUCUCCUUCCUCAUCCUGGAUCUCUUAUAGGAAUCACAAAUGGGUGAUUUGAGAAAGGAAAAUAUAACUUUCUCUCCACAAGAAUCAUCUGUAAGAGAGAAUUUGGGGCCUGAAGAUUAAACAAUUUCCCCUGUCUCCAUUCUGCAUUACAUCAACUGUUUGAAGAUAUGUCCAGGAAAGGCUGUACAAAAGCAAGAUUAAAUAAUAGAACUAGAUUGAAUGGAAGUGUAAAAGUUAGAAGGUAGAAAAGAACAAUGGUAGAACUGUGGGGGAAAUGGAUUCCCCCCCCCUGCAACUUUAAUUCAUUGGGCUGAAUUCAGCCCAUGUCAGUAGUGGCUGUGGUUGGGAUUUUCUCAGGAGAUUUAAGGGAGUUAGAUGGCAUGUUGUUUAAGCUCCUUUGAAAAUCUCAUCCUUAAUCAUUGGUAUCUGAAGGCUUUUACACCCUAACUCAGGGAUCAGCAAUCUGAAAGAUAAGAAAAUCAUUUUUUAAAAUUCCUUCAGUAACCCAAGUAUUUUGAGAGCUGCAGUGGGUGUAGCCUCCCGGUUAAGAAACUGCAUAACAGAACAGAGACGCAUAUUGACUUUUAGCAACAAAAAACAGUAU
RNAcentral lists this long non-coding RNA (1116 nucleotides) under Pelusios castaneus (West African mud turtle). Its description in RNAcentral is "lncRNA (ENSPCEG00000004028.1)". The stretch from base 214 to 291 matches the Rfam family "Small nucleolar RNA SNORD126". Lineage: Eukaryota; Metazoa; Chordata; Testudines; Pelomedusidae. The record is from RNAcentral.